GCCUGGCUGGCUCAGUGGGUAGAGCAUGUGACUCUCAAUCUUGGUGUCAUGAGUUCAAGUCCCACAUUGGGUG
RNAcentral lists this transfer RNA (73 nucleotides) under Ailuropoda melanoleuca (giant panda). It matches the Rfam family "tRNA". Rfam says of the family: Transfer RNA (tRNA) molecules are approximately 80 nucleotides in length. Their secondary structure includes four short double-helical elements and three loops (D, anti-codon, and T loops). Lineage: Eukaryota; Metazoa; Chordata; Mammalia; Carnivora; Ursidae. The record is from Rfam by way of RNAcentral.